Long non-coding RNA from Perognathus longimembris pacificus (Pacific pocket mouse), 1631 nucleotides. RefSeq lists it as uncharacterized. The record is from RefSeq and is a predicted model, not a curated record. The transcript has 3 exons. Lineage: Eukaryota; Metazoa; Chordata; Mammalia; Rodentia; Heteromyidae.
UCAAUGGGGUUGAUGGUGCUUGGAUUUCAAAGCAUACUAAACAAAAGAAAAUUUGUAAAAGUUGGAAAAUGAAAGAAUGGUGAAUGUGUAGAUAAAUAAAGGUGGUCACAUAGAUUUAAAAAGUGAAAAUAUGUUGGUAAACGAAAAAGCCAUGGCAAAAUUUGUAAGUGUGCAAAAUUUUCACUAAAAAUAAUAUGUAGGAAGCAGGGACCUACAACCACAAAGAAAAGAAUCAUUGUGAUGGUGAAUGAUAGACUACAAAGAGUAAAAUUUACAAUGUUUCUUUAGCUGGCAGGUUGAUAUGAAAUUACAACCUUUUUGUCCUCCACAAUGAAUUGCAGCUAAAGUCUUCACUUGGUGGUUUUGUCUUAAUUGCUACUGCUUUUUUCUAGGUCUCCUAAGGUCUUCACCUGAAUAUGGAUAGUUUAGUCACCAGCAAAUAAGUUUCUGAGUCCAAAAUUGAUUUUGAGACCCAUCCCUUUUGUGGUUCCCUAAUCUUUAGAAUUUCUGUCCGGAGUUUUUGGUCACUCUCCCAACUUUGUGUAGUCUUGUCCAGUAAAUGUUGGAGCUUUUUAACAUUUUAUAUCAGAAGUUUUGGAAGAUUCUGAUGAGAAUAUCCAGAUAUACAUAAAUCUUACUCCAUAUAAGCUUCUGUUUUUCAGGCAUCAACUGCCUUCUAGUUUUUACUUACCACUUGCCAGGUCCUUUCAAAUAUUGUAGAUUUUCUUUUUUAACUAAUUAUGUAAUUUUUAUUUGUUGAGGAUUAGUAUAAUCAAGCUAUACCACCUCUAGAGAGAAACAAGAAGCUCUAAUUAAAUAUUUUUAAGUAUAGCAUCUUAAUCUCUAUUAACAUUUGAGAUACAUAUGUAUAUGUUAAGUGUACUUUUUACUGGUUAUAAUAUUUAUCCUUGAACUUAUAAUAUUCAUAUUCAGUGUACAGUAUCAUCUAAUAGUUUACUACUGUAUGAAUAAUAUAAAAUCUUUUAGGUAUAUACUCCUACUUUUCUCCUUCAUGCCCUUUCUACUACUGUCAUAUUGAUCUUUCAGCCAGAGGUUUAUCCCUGUGUCUGUAGGCUCUCUGCAUUCUUUUUCUUACUUCCAUUGAAUAAAAUAGGUCUCUAUUGAGUCCUUCAUGUGGUGGCUUACAUAUAUCAGGGUUAGCAGUAGUUUGUUGAGUUUUUUUCUAUUGUUACAUCUCCUUCCCUCUAUUCAAUCCAUUGUGUGUUGGCUUACAUAUAUCAGGGUUGGCAAUGGUUUGUUGAGUUUUGUUCUUUUGUUACAUCUUUUGCCUCCUUUUUUUCUUAACUGCAUGCUUUUAAGAUCUCAUUUGACAUAUUGUACUUACCUGGAUAAUCCAGUUCAUAACAUUAGUUAUAUCUGCAAAGUUCCUUUGCCACAUUAUAACAUAACAUAUUCAGUUCCAGGGUUGAAGGCAUGGUCAUCUUCCUUUGACAAGAGGGAGUGGAUUCUUGCUCCACCAGUAAAGUAAUUGAGAUGGAUAAUUUACUGGAUAAACUUUAAGAUUAGAGAAGGCCUGAUAUGAUAACAGAGUAUACAAAUUAGAAUUAUUCAUUGUUUUAGUAUGAAUUGUGAGUCCAUUGUUAAUUGUAUGUAUUAGAUAUAGUUUAUCC